Molecule: ribosomal RNA, 442 nt
Filed under: uncultured bacterium
Lineage: Bacteria
Description: bacterial SSU rRNA
Rfam family: Bacterial small subunit ribosomal RNA
Source: RNAcentral
AACGCGAAGAACCUUACCUGGGCUCGAACGGCCGGUUAACGGCGGUGGAAACACUGCUAUCCCGCAAGGGAGUCCGGUCGAGGUGCUGCAUGGCUGUCGUCAGCUCGUGUCGUGAGAUGUUGGGUUAAGUCCCGCAACGAGCGCAACCCUUGUCCUGUGUUGCCAUCCCGCAAGGGGGGACUCGCAGGAGACCGCCAGCGAUAAGCUGGAGGAAGGUGGGGAUGACGUCAAGUCCUCAUGGCCUUUAUGUCCAGGGCUACACACGUGCUACAAUGGCCGGUACAAUGCGCAGCUAAGCCGCGAGGUGGAGCCAAUCGCAAAAAACCGGUCUCAGUUCGGAUUGCAGGCUGCAACUCGCCUGCAUGAAGCUGGAAUCGCUAGUAAUGCCGUAUCAGAACGAUGGCGUGAAUACGUUCCCGGGCCUUGUACACACCGGUAUCUC